RNAcentral lists this ribosomal RNA (253 nucleotides) under uncultured bacterium. RNAcentral's name for it is "partial 16S ribosomal RNA". It matches the Rfam family "Bacterial small subunit ribosomal RNA", at positions 524 to 776 of the family's 1533-position model. The record is from RNAcentral.
UACGUAGGGGCCUAGCGUUGUCCGGAUCUACUGGGCGUAAAGAGCGCGUAGGCGGUCCGUUAAGUGUAGAGUGAAAGCUCCGGGCUCAACUCGGAAAUUGCUCUGCAUACUGGCGGACUCGAGGGUGGCAGAGGUUUGUGGAAUUCCUGGUGUAGCGGUGAAAUGCGUAGAUAUCAGGAGGAACACCCAUGGCGAAGGCAGCAAACUGGGCCACAUCUGACGCUGAGGCGCGAAAGCGUGGGUAGCAAACAGG